Neolamprologus brichardi is the source of this 1957-nucleotide non-coding RNA. Lineage: Eukaryota; Metazoa; Chordata; Actinopteri; Cichliformes; Cichlidae. The record is from RefSeq and is a predicted model, not a curated record.
UAAAUUUUCAGAAGGAAUGAAGAUGAGAGGCGCGAAGCCUGACAUUAACGGCUCCCAGAAAAUGUUGAGUAAAGAGGAUGAAGAUCUAAAGUGGGUUGAGGAGAACAUUCCUACUACUGUUGCUGAUGUAGCUCUCCCUGUAAUGCUAGAUGAGGAAGAAGAAAUCUUGAAAACCAAGAUGGAGAGGUCCAAAAUGGAGUAGAAGACGAUCUGAGAGUGAAAAGAGAGGAAUUCAACUGAGGCAGCAAUGAGUGAUCUGAUUACCAAAAAUGUUGGGGGGAUGCAUAUCUGUUCUUUUGUCAGACACUUUUUAAAAAAAACUUUUAUUUCACAGGUUUUGGGUAACACUACAGUAAGCUCUUAUAUUAACGCCAUACUGUGCAACCCGGAGUGACUGGGUCGGCUGCUGAUGGCAUUCUGGGAUAAAAUACAAGAAGCAGUUAUAUAGUAUAGCAUUUAUAUUUAUAACUAUUUUAUUUGUUGAACAAAAUGAAGGAGAAGCUGAUUCUGUUACACAAGGCGCUAGUUAUCGGGAGAUUUGUGAAAAUUUUCUUUUCUUUUUUUGUUUUGUUUUGUUUUUUUUAAAGACUAUUAUAAGUAUUUAAUGAAACGUGAUAUCCAGUGCAAGGGAUAGAUGAUCAAAAUAUUUGGCAAAAGCUCCACCCACUUCAGACUGCACAGAUAACUCCUGGACGGGUCAGAGUUGUAGGAAUGUGAGGUCCUUUUUGGAACACAGUCAGGUAUGACUCGUGAUGCCUGGCCAUCAUCAAAGCCAAGAAGUCGGAUGAUGCUACAAAUGGAAGAUAAUGAACAUAACUGAAAACAUUAAAGUAGUUUCAUAAUAGGAUUAUAUUUAAGCCAUUGCAGCAUCUUAAUGAACAGUAGGUUAUCUUCAGUGCUGUGCCAUAUAUGUAAAAAAGAUGCGUUGUUACAUUACAUAUUUAUUUGAUCACACGAUUUAAUAUUUACAUGUGCAAGUAACUCUAUUGUACAAUUAGCCAUUUAGCCAGACAGCUAAAAGCAAAUGUUUUAAUGCUUAACCAACAAAUAUGUGUGUUUAAUUGUUAACACAUUAUUACUGUAGUGUCUGGCUAACUGGGUCAUUUUGAAUAUCAAAAUAGUUAAGCCACUGUUAAAAUCUGUCAUGUUGAUACUUGAAGGAUAUCACCGUCGUCCAGAAAAUAAGCCACAUCUGUUGAUCUGGGAUCAUAUAAUGAUAGAUAUGGAGCUAUAUCAAUGCAAAGAGUUAACUGUAAUAAAACCGUGUGAGGUGUGUUCAUUUUGUAGACACAUGCCAGAUCAUUUCUUCAGGAUGUCGUCCACACACUGAUCAGUUUAAGCGAGUUGAAAUUUGACUAUAUUUAAUUGGUUAAUAAACGUAGAAAAAGUAAAAUCCUGUUUGUAAGCAUUUGUAGUAAAAUUAAGCCUGCUUUAUUUUAAUUUUUAUGAAAAGUAACUUUUUUUUAUAGUUUUGAUUUCAUAUAAUAGAUCUAGAAACACUAGAUAUUGCAGUCACCAAAGUGAACACUUUUUUUCUAGCCACUGAAUAACGAACCUGGAUAGCUAAAAAAUAUACAUGUAAUUUAGUGUGUGCUCUCCGACCCCCUCCACCAACAGGUCCAGAGUUUUAUUUAGAUUCUCUGUUUACUUUAGUAGCACAGGGGAGUAUCAGUUCACCAUUAUUACAGAUUUCUCUGACCCUUUCCCAGCUACGCUCAAAAAUAGCCUUAUCUGGAAUAAUUCCUCAUCUUUGUGUGAUCUACUGCAGUAUGUGUGGAUAAUUUUAAAGCUCUGAACUAUGUUUGUUUUUUUUCUAUUUGUCUAAAUCUUAUUGACAAUAUUUUAUUUCAGAGAGACACUAAAACCCUGUGUCUGGAUUUGAGUCUGCAUUGUAUUGUGAAGCUGAUAAUAUUGUAUGGCUUUUUGCGUAUGUCCUGCAAAUAAAUUUAUAUUGAAA